CGCAGACCCGGGGCUGGUGGGGGUGGCGGCGGCCCUGGCCCCCGCCCUCUGGACCCCCUCCGCUCAGAACAGGAGCUGGGACCUGCGCCCAGGCCGGUGCCCUGCAUUUCAGGGCUGUGGAAGGCUGCUUCUCUGACUUCCUCAACAUUCCUGGAAAAUGACCUGAAUUUUCUGGAAGAGGGAAGGAGGAUCUGGUUCUUGGAACAUUCCCACUUCUUCACACAGAUGCCACUCCCUCAGACGCACGUGAAGGCUGGGGCAUCUGUGGUCAGCGCUGGCCACCGCCCGCCGUCAGGCCGCCCCCUCGCCGGGGAGCCCAGCCCGGGCUCCGCUCCGCCGCGGUGAGCCUUCCAGCGGCCCCUGUGGACCCGCCUGCUCUCUCACGCCUGUCCUGAGCCUCCUUGACCCGGGCCCCAACUCACUCACUCGAAGCAGCGACACAGAGAAGACCAGCGUGGCCCGUGCACCAGGAUGGCACCCAAAUUCACGAAGCGUUCGUAUUAAAAAAAAAAAAA
Molecule: long non-coding RNA, 515 nt
Organism: Hyaena hyaena (striped hyena)
Lineage: Eukaryota; Metazoa; Chordata; Mammalia; Carnivora; Hyaenidae
Exons: 2
Source: RefSeq, a predicted model, not a curated record